CAGGGAAUCUUCCACAAUGGACGCAAGUCUGAUGGAGCAACGCCGCGUGAGUGAAGAAGGCUUUCGGGUCGUAAAACUCUGUUGUUGGAGAAGAAUGGUCGGCAGAGUAACUGUUGUCGGCGUGACGGUAUCCAACCAGAAAGCCACGGCUAACUACGUGCCAGCAGCCGCGGUAAUACGUAGGUGGCAAGCGUUAUCCGGAUUUAUUGGGCGUAAAGCGAGCGCAGGCGGUUUUUUAAGUCUGAUGUGAAAGCCCUCGGCUUAACCGAGGAAGCGCAUCGGAAACUGGGAAACUUGAGUGCAGAAGAGGACAGUGGAACUCCGUGUGUAGCGGUGAAAUGCGUAGAUAUAUGGAAGAACACCAGUGGCGAAGGCGGCUGUCUGGUCUGUAACUGACGCUGAGGCUCGAAAGCAUGGGUAGCGAACAGGAUUAGAUACCCUGGUAGUCCAUGCCGUAAACGAUGAAUGCUAGGUGUUGGAGGGUUUCCGCCCUUGCAGUGCCGCAGCUAACGCAUUAAGCAUUCCGCCUGGGGAGUACGACCGCAAGGUUGAAAC
RNAcentral lists this ribosomal RNA (555 nucleotides) under uncultured bacterium. Its description in RNAcentral is "partial 16S ribosomal RNA". It matches the Rfam family "Bacterial small subunit ribosomal RNA", at positions 355 to 900 of the family's 1533-position model. The record is from RNAcentral.